RNAcentral lists this ribosomal RNA (109 nucleotides) under Salvator merianae (Argentine black and white tegu). Lineage: Eukaryota; Metazoa; Chordata; Lepidosauria; Squamata; Teiidae. The record is from RNAcentral.
GCCUACGGCCAUACCACCCUGAACACGCCCGAUCUCAUCUGAUCUUGGAAGCUAAGCAGGGGCAGGCCUUAGAUGGGAGACCGCCUGGGAAUACCGGGUGCUGUAGGCU